Molecule: ribosomal RNA, 429 nt
Filed under: bacterium
Lineage: Bacteria
Description: partial 16S ribosomal RNA
Rfam family: Bacterial small subunit ribosomal RNA
Source: RNAcentral
UAGGGAAUCUUCGGCAAUGGGGGCAACCCUGACCGAGCAACGCCGCGUGAGUGAAGAAGGUUUUCGGAUCGUAAAGCUCUGUUGUAAGAGAAGAACGUGUGUGAGAGUGGAAAGUUCACACAGUGACGGUAACUUACCAGAAAGGGACGGCUAACUACGUGCCAGCAGCCGCGGUAAUACGUAGGUCCCGAGCGUUGUCCGGAUUUAUUGGGCGUAAAGCGAGCGCAGGCGGUUUAAUAAGUCUGAAGUUAAAGGCAGUGGCUUAACCAUUGUUCGCUUUGGAAACUGUUAAACUUGAGUGCAGAAGGGGAGAGUGGAAUUCCAUGUGUAGCGGUGAAAUGCGUAGAUAUAUGGAGGAACACCGGUGGCGAAAACGGCUCUCUGGUCUGUAACUGACGCUGAGGCUCGAAAGCGUGGGGAGCAAACAGG